CCUACGUGGGGCAGCAGUGAGGAAUAUUGGUCAAUGGACGAAAGUCUGAACCAGCCAAGUAGCGUGCAGGAUGACGGCCCUCCGGGUUGUAAACUGCUUUUAGUUGGGAAUAAAAGAAGGGACGUGUCCCUUAUUGUAUGUACCUUCAGAAAAAGGACCGGCUAAUUCCGUGCCAGCAGCCGCGGUAAUACGGAAGGCCCAGGCGUUAUCCGGAUUUAUUGGGUUUAAAGGGAGCGUAGGCGGAUUGUUAAGUCAGCGGUUCAAGGGUGUGGCUCAACCAUACAUUUCCGUUGAAACUGGCGAUCUUGAGUGCAGACAGGGAUGCCGGAAUUCGUGGGGUAGCGGGGAAAUGCUUAGAUAUCACGAAGAACUCCGAGCGCGAAGGCAGGUGUCCGGGCUGCAACUGACGCUGAGGCUCGAAAGUGUGGGUAUCAAACAGGAUUAGAUACCCCUGUAGUC
RNAcentral lists this ribosomal RNA (459 nucleotides) under uncultured Prevotella sp. RNAcentral's name for it is "bacterial SSU rRNA". It matches the Rfam family "Bacterial small subunit ribosomal RNA", at positions 338 to 795 of the family's 1533-position model. Lineage: Bacteria; Pseudomonadati; Bacteroidota; Bacteroidia; Bacteroidales; Prevotellaceae. The record is from RNAcentral.